UAUUGCAGACACUUCACAGCAUAAACUUUUUGAUAUAUUUUGGGGAAAAUCCAACGGUAACUCCAAAGCCAAAAAUAUUUUCUACAAUUUCCACUUCCCCUAACCUUUUAAGGAUCUUAUGAUGCUUCAAAAGCUAAAAAUGAAAUUUUUCACGGCAUUCACUUCCAUCAUGGGUAUCUACUUGAUGAGGAUCUUCACGAUAAUUUUCCCUAGUCUAGUGCAGCAUCGAUGAUAACGUUCUUCACAUCUGUUGCGUGAGUCGCAUGCAUUUAAGUUCCUCCGGUCACUCAAUCAUGUCGUAGGACGAAAGGUCCGAAUCGGCACGUGUGACUGGUUGUAUACGUAGAAUUUUUGAUGAGCAUAGUGACCGCGGAUAUUUUUUAUAUCCGUGAGUAGUAACAUCUUUUUCA
Long non-coding RNA from Frieseomelitta varia, 410 nucleotides. RefSeq lists it as uncharacterized. The transcript is spliced from 3 exons. The record is from RefSeq and is a predicted model, not a curated record. Lineage: Eukaryota; Metazoa; Arthropoda; Insecta; Hymenoptera; Apidae.